This 76-nucleotide transfer RNA is filed under the name Mycoplasma tauri. RNAcentral's name for it is "Mycoplasma sp. Zaradi2 tRNA-Lys". It matches the Rfam family "tRNA". Rfam says of the family: Transfer RNA (tRNA) molecules are approximately 80 nucleotides in length. The record is from RNAcentral. Lineage: Bacteria; Bacillati; Mycoplasmatota; Mollicutes; Mycoplasmatales; Mycoplasmataceae.
GCGUCGUUAGCUCAGUCGGUAGAGCAGCUGGCUCUUAACCAGCGGGUCACAGGUUCGAACCCUGCACGACGUACCA